This is a long non-coding RNA of Oenanthe melanoleuca, 900 nucleotides long. RefSeq lists it as uncharacterized. The record is from RefSeq and is a predicted model, not a curated record. The transcript is spliced from 3 exons. Lineage: Eukaryota; Metazoa; Chordata; Aves; Passeriformes; Muscicapidae.
GGUGAGAGCACCUCACAGGAUCUGGGCGAGCACUGGCAUGUGGAUCACUGCUUCAGGGAGGUACUGAGGGACAAACUUCUGUGCGAGAAAGCAACUGCUGAACAGGUCCUGCCCUGGAUGGACAGCUGUGGUCUAAGACAGCGAUUCCCUAGGAGGAAGGAGAGCCUUUGCCUCAUCUGCACAGCUCAGGUGGAUGUGACAGAAUUGGUGUGCCCUGAGAUGGUCAGUCACAGUUUGCCUUUUUUAGGGGAACCAUAAAUGAUGACUGUGUUAAAGGAAUUUUUUUUUUUUCUGUGAAUGAAGCUGGAUAUUGGUAGUCAAGGGGAAGUGACAAGGUGAGUAGCUACUGGUGGACAGAAGCAGCUGUUAUUGAUCAGGUCUCAAUUUCUGGCGCAACUCUCAGCAUUUGUUAUUUGUGCAUUUUAUGCAAUGCGUUUGAAUUAUGCUGAGACCGCUCUCAUCGACCGGCCAACAGGCAUCAGCCUCCGAGGGGGGACGAAUCGUGCAUCCCAAGUACCCGGGCAUUCUUGGGAGGCGAUGACUAAGAGAAGACAGCUUGGUAAUGGCAGGAAUUUCCCACAUGGUGGAACUGCUUUUCUUCACAGCUGACAUGGAUUCCCAUCCCUGGAUGUCUGAGAGGUAAGUGGAGGGUUCAAACCCACAGAGGGGGUGGGAGUGGGAUGCUUUGUCUAGACUUGUCAGGAGAGAUUUUUAAAGAGGCUUUAGAGGCGGGGAUGUCCAAGAAGCAGCCCCUUAGGCCCCAUAAGGGGAAAAGUGUCAAUUUGAUGCCCGUGCUGAGGUGCACAGGGUAGAGGAGUUCUGGUGGGUGUCAUGUCACUUGUCUGUAGUGCAGUGUGUGUCUUUUUUGUGCGCGUUGUAUUGUACAAGUCUUGCCUUAGA